Molecule: ribosomal RNA, 466 nt
Filed under: uncultured bacterium
Lineage: Bacteria
Description: partial 16S ribosomal RNA
Rfam family: Bacterial small subunit ribosomal RNA
Source: RNAcentral
GACGAACGCUGGCGGCGCGCCUAACACAUGCAAGUCGAACGAGCGAGAGAGAGCUUGCUUUUUCGACCGAGUGGCGAACGGGUGAGUAACCCGUGAGGCACCUGCCUCAAAGGGGGGGACAACAGGUGGAAACGACUGCUAAUGCCGCAUAAGCACACGACCAGGCAGCGGGUAUUGGGAAAAGGAGCAAUCCGCUUUGAGAUGGCCGGACUUCCUAUUAGCUGGUUGGUGAGGUAACGGCCCACCAAGGCGACGACCGGUACCCGGGAUGAGAGGUUGAGCGGCCACAUUGGAACUGAGACACGGCCCAGACUCCUACGGGAGGCAGCAGUGGGGAAUAUUGCACAAUGGGGGAAACCAUGAUGCAGCGACGCCGCGUAAAAGAAGAAGGUCGGCGGAUAGUAAACUCCUGUUGUUGAGUAAGAUAAUGACGGUACUCAACGAGGAAGUGACGGCUAACUACGUG